CCAUCGUCCUGCCAGGCUUGUGACUCCUUGAAGGCUCACCACACAUCCUCCAGGCAUCUGUCAAGGUUCCAGUGUUUAAGGAAGCACCACUGACUGACUGUCACACAGACCCUCAGGACCCAUUGUGUUUUCAUAUUGUUCCAGUUAGUCCUUAUUACAGAGCAAUGCUGUUUGAACAUGUGGUCUCCUUAACCCCAGCCAGUGAUUGGGACAUGCCACCAUAGCAGCAAAUGCCCAGCUUCUUCCUACUGAAGGUCCCUGCCCUCAGGGCUAGGGUGGAUGGAGCCUGGGAAUGGAGGGACAUUUGUAGACUCUGUAGCCAUUUCCUAGAAACUUCUGAGUUCACCGUUGAAUGAUAUUACUUUUUUUUUAAUUGAAGUUUUGUGGGAACCCUAUGUCAAGCAAUCUAUGGGUACCGUCUUUCCACAAUCAUUUGCUCACU
Myotis davidii is the source of this 442-nucleotide long non-coding RNA. RefSeq lists it as uncharacterized. The transcript is spliced from 4 exons. Lineage: Eukaryota; Metazoa; Chordata; Mammalia; Chiroptera; Vespertilionidae. The record is from RefSeq and is a predicted model, not a curated record.